Molecule: ribosomal RNA, 498 nt
Filed under: uncultured bacterium
Lineage: Bacteria
Description: partial 16S ribosomal RNA
Rfam family: Bacterial small subunit ribosomal RNA
Source: RNAcentral
AUUGAACGCUGGCGGCAUGCCUUACACAUGCAAGUCGAACGGUAACAGGUCUUCGGAUGCUGACGAGUGGCGAACGGGUGAGUAAUACAUCGGAACGUGCCUAGUAGUGGGGGAUAACUACUCGAAAGAGUGGCUAAUACCGCAUGAGAUCUACGGAUGAAAGCAGGGGAUCGCAAGACCUUGUGCUACUAGAGCGGCCGAUGGCAGAUUAGGUAGUUGGUGGGAUAAAAGCUUACCAAGCCGACGACCUGUAGCUGGUAUGAGAGGACGAGCAGCCACACUGGGACUGGGACACGGACCAGACUCCUACGGGAGGCAGCAGUGGGUAAUUUUGGACAAUGGGCGAAAGCCUGAUCCAGCAAUGCCGCGUGCAGGAUGAAGGCCUUCGGGUUGUAAACUGCUUUUGUACGGAACGAAAAGCCCCGGGUUAAUACCCUGGGGUCAUGACGGUACUGUAAGAAUAAGCACCGGCUAACUACGUGCCAGCCGCCGCCGUAA